UCCCAUUCGACACGGGCAGUCCGUCUAGAGUGCACCUUUCGGUUAGCAACUAGACGCAAGGGUUUCGCUCGUUACGGGACUUAACCCAACAUCUCACGACACGAGCUGACGACAGCCAUGCAGCACCUGUGUUGCGGUUCCCUUUCGGGCACCGAGGUAUCUCUACCCCCUUCCGCACAUGUCAAGGGUAGGUAAGGUUUUUCGCGUUGCAUCGAAUUAAUCCACAUCAUCCACCGCUUGUGCGGGUCCCCGUCAAUUCCUUUGAGUUUUAGCCUUGCGGCCGUACUCCCCAGGCGGGGUGCUUAAUGCGUUAGCUUCGGCACGGGGGGAGUCGACACCCCCCACACCUAGCACCCAUCGUUUACGGCGUGGACUAC
This 377-nucleotide unclassified non-coding RNA is filed under the name uncultured bacterium. RNAcentral's name for it is "contains 16S-23S intergenic spacer region". The record is from RNAcentral.